UGAAUACGAGAUGCUACGGCGUCGAAGCAGUCUAUGUCAUACUUCCAAGAAAAGCUUGCACUGUCAUAAACAAAUAAUGCCUGUACCAUAACCGACACAGGUGGGUAGGUAGAGUAUACUAAGGGGCGCGAGAUAACUCUCUCUAAGGAACUCGGCAAAAUGACUCCGUAACUUCGGGAGAAGGAGUGCCUUAUUUAUAAGGUUGCAAUAACAAGAUCCAAGCAACUGUUUACCAAAAACACAGGUCUCCGCUAAGUCGUAAGACGAUGUAUGGGGGCUGACGCCUGCCCAGUGCCAGAAGGUUAAAGAAGUUGGUUAGCAUCCGCGAAGCUGAUAACUGAAGCCCUGGUGAACGGCGGCCGUAACUAUAACGGUCCUAAGGUAGCGAAAUUCCUUGUCGGGUAAGUUCCGACCCGCACGAAAGGCGUAAUGAUUUGGAUACUGUCUCGGAGAGGGGCUCGGUGAAAUAGACUUGUCUGUGAAGAUGCGGACUACCUGCACCAGUACAGAAAGACCCUAUGAAGCUUUACUGUAACCUGAAAUUGAAAUUGGACUUUACUUGCGCAGUAUAGGUGGGAGGCGUUGAGAAUAUUCUUGCGGGAUUAUUGGAGCCAUCAGUGGGAUACCACCCUUGUAAUGUUAGAUUUCUAACUUUGUAUCAUUAUCUGGUCAAAGAACAGUUUCAGGCGGGCAGUUUGACUGGGGCGGUCGCCUCCUAAACGGUAACGGAGGCGCACAAAGGUUUCCUCUGAACGGGUAGAAAUCGUAUCUAGAGUGUAAAGGCAUAAGGAAGCUUGACUGUGAGACCUACAAGUCGAGCAGGGACGAAAGUCGGUCUUAGUGAUCUGACGGUGCUGAGUGGAAAGGCCGUCACUCAACGGAUAAAAGUUACUCUAGGAUAACAGGCUGAUCUCCCCCAAGAGUUCACAUCGACGGGGAGGUUUGGCACCUCGAUGUCGGCUCAUCGCAUCCUGGGGCGGUAGUACGUCCCAAGGGUUGGGCUGUUCGCCCAUGAAAGCGGUACGCGAGCUGGGUUCAGAACGUCGUGAGACAGUUCGGUCCAUAUCCGGUGUAGGCGUUAGAAUAUUGAGAGGAGCCUUCUUUAGUACGAGAGGACCGAGAAGGACAUACCUCUGGUGUACCAGUUAUCGUGCCAACGGUAAACGCUGGGUAGCUAUGUGUGGAGUGGAUAACCGCUGAAAGCAUCUAAGUGGGAAGCCCACCUCAAGAUAAGUA
RNAcentral lists this ribosomal RNA (1236 nucleotides) under metagenome. Its description in RNAcentral is "bacterial LSU rRNA". It matches the Rfam family "Bacterial large subunit ribosomal RNA", at positions 1564 to 2810 of the family's 2925-position model. The record is from RNAcentral.